RNAcentral lists this ribosomal RNA (465 nucleotides) under uncultured bacterium. RNAcentral describes it as "partial 16S ribosomal RNA". It matches the Rfam family "Bacterial small subunit ribosomal RNA", at positions 339 to 795 of the family's 1533-position model. The record is from RNAcentral.
CUACGGGUCGCAGCAGUGAGGAAUAUUGCGCAAUGGGGGAAACCCUGACGCAGCGACGCCGCGUGGAUGAUGAAGGCCUUAGGGUCGUAAAAUCCUGUCAGGUGGGAAGAAGUGGAUAUAGAUUAAUACUCUAUUUCUUUGACGGUACCACCAAAGGAAGCACCGGCUAACUCCGUGCCAGCAGCCGCGGUAAUACGGAGGGUGCAAACGUUGUUCGGAAUUACUGGGCGUAAAGCGCGCGUAGGCGGUUUGUUAAGUCAGAUGUGAAAGUCCAUGGCUCAACUAUGGAAGUGCAUUUGAAACUGGCAGGCUUGAGUACUGGAGGAGGUGAUGAAAUUCCGGGUGUAGAGGUGAAAUUCGUAGAUAUCGGGAGGAGUACCGGUAACGAAGGCGAUCACCUGGCCAGAUACUGACGCUGAGGUGCGAAAGCGUGGGGAGCAAACAGGAUUAGAUACCCCAGUAGUC